UACGUAGGGUGCGAGCGUUGUCCGGAAUUAUUGGGCGUAAAGAGCUUGUAGGCGGUCUGUCGCGUCUGCUGUGAAAAUCCGGGGCUCAACCCCGGACUUGCAGUGGGUACGGGCAGACUAGAGUGUGGUAGGGGAGACUGGAAUUCCUGGUGUAGCGGUGAAAUGCGCAGAUAUCAGGAGGAACACCGGUGGCGAAGGCGGUUCUCUGGGCCUUACCUGACGCUGAGGAGCGAAAGCGUGGGGAGCAAACAGG
This 253-nucleotide ribosomal RNA is filed under the name uncultured bacterium. Its description in RNAcentral is "partial 16S ribosomal RNA". It matches the Rfam family "Bacterial small subunit ribosomal RNA", at positions 524 to 776 of the family's 1533-position model. The record is from RNAcentral.